This 1200-nucleotide ribosomal RNA is filed under the name uncultured organism. Its description in RNAcentral is "bacterial SSU rRNA". It matches the Rfam family "Bacterial small subunit ribosomal RNA", at positions 199 to 1428 of the family's 1533-position model. The record is from RNAcentral.
GAGUAAAGAUUUCGGUCGCUUUGGGAGGAGCUCGCUUACUAUCAGCUUGUUGGUAGGGUAAUGGCCUACCAAGGCUAUGACGGUUAGGGGGUGUGAGAGCAUGACCCCCAGCAUUGGCACUGAAACACUGGCCAAACACCUACGGGUGGCUGCAGUCGAGAAUCUUCCACAAUGGGGGAAACCCUGAUGGAGCGAUGCUGCGUGCGGGAUGAAGGCCUUCGGGUUGUAAACCGCUUUUGUAGGGGACGAAAUUUUUGACGGUACCCUUUCGAAUAAGAGGUUGCUAACUCUGUGCCAGCAGCAGCGGUAAUACAGAGACCUCAAGCGUUAUCCGGAUUUACUGGGCGUAAAGCGUCUGCAGGGGGUUUAUUAAGUUCCAAGUAAAAUUUCAAGGCUCAACUUUGAAUUCGCUUGGAAAACUAAUAAACUGGAGUCUAGCAGAGGUGCAUGGAACUUGUGGUGUAGGAGUGAAAUCCGUUGAUAUCACAAGGAACACCAAAGGCGAAGGCAUUGCACUGGGCUAGCACUGACCCUGAGAGACGAAAGCGUGGGGAGCAAAACGGAUUAGAUACCCGUGUAGUCCACGCCCUAAACGAUGAAUGCUAAAUGUUCGGGGAUUCGACCCCCUGGGUGUUACAGCUAACGCGUUAAGCAUUCCGCCUGGGAAGUACGGCCGCAAGGCUAAAACUCAAAGGAAUAGACGGGGAUCCGCACAAGCGGUGGAGCGUCUGGUUUAAUUCGACAGUAAGCGUGGUACCUCACCAGGGUUUGACAUCCCUUGACAGCCUUGGAAACAAGGUUUCCUUCGGGCAAGGUGACAGGUGCUGCAUGGUCGUCGUCAGUUCGUGCCGUGAGGUGUUCCGUUAAGUCGGGAAACGAACGAAACCCCUAUUGCAUGUUACAAUUUCUCAUGCAAGACUGCCCGGAUAUACUGGGAGGAAGGUGGGGAUGACGUCAGAUCUGCAUGGUCCUUAUACCCUAGGCGACACAGGCGCUACAAUGGCAGAGACAAAGGGGUUGCAAAACCGCAAGGUGAAGCUAAUCCCAAAAACUUUGUCUAAGUUCGGAUUGAAGGCUGCAAUUCGCCUUCAUGAAGCUGGAAUCGCUAGUAAUCGUGAAUCAGCCACGUCACGGUGAAUAUGUUCCCGGAUCUUGUACUCACCGCCCGUCACACCAAGAGAGUUGGUAGCUCCCGAAGCG